Felis catus (domestic cat) is the source of this 1474-nucleotide long non-coding RNA. RefSeq lists it as uncharacterized. The transcript has 2 exons. The record is from RefSeq and is a predicted model, not a curated record. Lineage: Eukaryota; Metazoa; Chordata; Mammalia; Carnivora; Felidae.
UCAACACAGAGGCCGACGCGGGGCUCGAACUCACGGACCGCGAGAUCAUGACCUGAGCCGAAGUCGGACGCUUAACCGACCGAGCCACCCAGGCGCCCCUUUCUUGAUAAAGUUUUGGACCUAACCUCUAGGACGUGAGGAACUAGAAAUUUAGUCCUGAUAAUAGUAAUGCCCACUUUUGCAUUCUAAGAGGCAAAAAUCUAGACCUAGUAACAUUGGGCAUUAACAUCAAGAUGAAAAACUGUUUCCUGGAAUGAAAAAGUGUCAUGCAAAGAUAUUUUUUUUCACCCAUCUCUUAUUUGAAAAGCCUAGGGAAUAUAUUCUUAUGAGAUAUUUCUUGGGAUAAUAAUAAUAAAGUUGCUCGUGGUAUAAAUUAGAAUGUUUUUGGUUGCAAGUCACAGAACACCCAACUCUUAAUUGAUUUAAAUAAUGAAUGAGAUCUCUUGGGUCACACAGACCAUGAAAUUUCCUCAGUUUUUGUUUUUGUUUUUAUUUUGGAGAUCGAGCGCAUGCACACACACAAGCUGGGGAGGGGCAGAGGGACAGAAGGAGAGAAUCCCAAGCAGGCUCCACACUCCACACUCCUGAUGCAGGGCUCAAUCCCACGACCGUGACAUCCUGACGUGAGCCAAAAGCAGGAGUCAGACGCCCAAACCAACUAAGCCACCCAGGUGCCCAAAAUUACCUCAGUUCUAAUGUUCUAGAGAUAUCACUUCGCUUUUAAAAGAAUGUUCAAGAUGCUCUCAUAACUUACUGUUAGAAAUGCAAAUAUGUACAGCCUUUUUGGAGGGGAAUUUUCCAGUAUGUAACAAAACUUUUUAUUAACUUUUUGACACAGCAAUCCUUCUUCUAGGAAUUUUUCCUAAAGUCAUAACUCCAGUUCCACUCCUAGGUAUAUACCCCUUAUAUCCAUUCGAAUAGAUUUUAAAUAUGGAGAUUCAAGAUCCAUAAUCAACUCUGUCCUGUGUCUGUGAUUCUGGGGUAUGCCUCUAACUUCGAUGAGAUGGUACCCUCCACUUCUUUCCCUGGAAGGUGAGGGAUUUGGAUCAGAUGAUAGCUCCCACUUAUCAAAAGUCGACUCUGUUGCAGACACUAUGUUUAUUAUUCCGUUGUAUGAUUCCCAAUCCUUUCUUGCAAGGUACGUAUGUAUGUAUGUGUUUAAUUUUUGAGGUAGGGUUCACACCCAGCACGGAGCCCAAGGCAGAGCUUGAACUCAUGGCCCUGAGAUCAAGACCUGAGCUGAGAUCAAGAGUCGGAUGCUUAACUGAGCCACCCCGGCACCCCACAAGGAUCUCCUACAGCAAGUGUGUCUUCUCCAGAGCUCCAGUCUCCGCUGAACAACCCUGCCGUAGUUCCAGCUUAUGCAGAGUGACCUCAGCCCCUGGACUUAGGUCACAUCACUUUCUCCCCUUGUCCCUCUCACCUCCCUGGGUGGAGAAGACUUCCUGUCAUUAAAAAGCCUGAGCCUCACCUA